RNAcentral lists this ribosomal RNA (424 nucleotides) under uncultured bacterium. RNAcentral describes it as "bacterial SSU rRNA". It matches the Rfam family "Bacterial small subunit ribosomal RNA", at positions 608 to 1028 of the family's 1533-position model. The record is from RNAcentral.
CUCAACCUCGGAAUUGCAGUCGAUACUGCUGUGACUCGAGUCCGGUAGAGGAGAAUGGAAUUCUCGGUGUAGCGGUGAAAUGCGCAGAUAUCGAGAGGAACACCAGUAGCGAAGGCGGUUCUCUGGGCCGGCACUGACGCUGAGGAGCGAAAGCGUGGGGAGCAAACAGGAUUAGAUACCCUGGUAGUCCACGCUGUAAACGUUGGAUACUAGGUGUGGCGGUCUUACCAACGACUGCCGUGCCGAAGCUAACGCAUUAAGUAUCCCGCCUGGGGAGUACGGCCGCAAGGCUGAAACUCAAAGGAAUCGACGGGUCCCCGCACAAGCGGCGGAGCAUGCGGCUUAAUUCGAUGCAACCCGAAGAACCUUACCUGGGUUUGACAUCACGGGAAAAGCUGUAGAAAUACAGUGUCCAUUAGGGCCC